GUGGGGAAUAUUGGACAAUGGGCGAAAGCCUGAUCCAGCCAUGCCGCGUGUGUGAAGAAGGUCUUCGGAUUGUAAAGCACUUUAAGUUGGGAGGAAGGGCAUUAACCUAAUACGUUAGUGUUUUGACGUUACCGACAGAAUAAGCACCGGCUAACUCUGUGCCAGCAGCCGCGGUAAUACAGAGGGUGCAAGCGUUAAUCGGAAUUACUGGGCGUAAAGCGCGCGUAGGUGGUUCGUUAAGUUGGAUGUGAAAUCCCCGGGCUCAACCUGGGAACUGCAUCCAAAACUGGCGAGCUAGAGUAGGGCAGAGGGUGGUGGAAUUUCCUGUGUAGCGGUGAAAUGCGUAGAUAUAGGAAGGAACACCAGUGGCGAAGGCGACCACCUGGGCUCAUACUGACACUGAGGUGCGAAAGCGUGGGGAGCAAACAGGAUUAGAUACCCGUGUAGUCC
This 450-nucleotide ribosomal RNA is filed under the name uncultured bacterium. Its description in RNAcentral is "bacterial SSU rRNA". It matches the Rfam family "Bacterial small subunit ribosomal RNA", at positions 354 to 796 of the family's 1533-position model. The record is from RNAcentral.